This 254-nucleotide ribosomal RNA is filed under the name uncultured bacterium. Its description in RNAcentral is "partial 16S ribosomal RNA". It matches the Rfam family "Bacterial small subunit ribosomal RNA", at positions 524 to 776 of the family's 1533-position model. The record is from RNAcentral.
CACGUAGGGGGCAAGCGUUGUCCGGAUUUAUUGGGCGUAAAGAGCUCGUAGGCGGCUUAGUAAGUCGGGUGUGAAACCUCCAGGCUCAACCUGGAGACGCCACCCGAUACUGCUGUGGCUAGAGUCCGGUAGGGGAGCGUGGAAUUCCUGGUGUAGCGGUGAAAUGCGCAGAUAUCAGGAAGAACACCUAUGGCGAAGGCAGCACUCUGGGACGGUACUGACGCUGAGACGCGAAAGCGUGGGGAGCGAACAGG